RNAcentral lists this ribosomal RNA (429 nucleotides) under Acidobacteriota bacterium. RNAcentral describes it as "Acidobacteria bacterium partial 16S ribosomal RNA". It matches the Rfam family "Bacterial small subunit ribosomal RNA", at positions 355 to 776 of the family's 1533-position model. Lineage: Bacteria; Pseudomonadati; Acidobacteriota. The record is from RNAcentral.
UGGGGAAUUUUGGACAAUGGGGGAAACCCUGAUCCAGCCAUCCCGCGUGUGCGAUGAAGGCCUUCGGGUUGUAAAGCACUUUUGGCAGGAAAGAAACGUCAUGGGUUAAUACCCCGUGAAACUGACGGUACCUGCAGAAUAAGCACCGGCUAACUACGUGCCAGCAGCCGCGGUAAUACGUAGGGUGCAAGCGUUAAUUGGAAUUACUGGGCGUAAAGCGUGCGCAGGCGGUUCGGAAAGAAAGAUGUGAAAUCCCAGAGCUCAACUUUGGAACUGCAUUUUUAACUACCGGGCUAGAGUGUGUCAGAGGGAGGUGGAAUUCCGCGUGUAGCAGUGAAAUGCGUAGAUAUGCGGAGGAACACCGAUGGCGAAGGCAGCCUCCUGGGAUAACACUGACGCUCAUGCUCGAAAGCGUGGGGAGCAAACAGG